ACACACACACACACACACACACACACACACUCAUAUUAUAUGCAUUUUUAAAUAUGUACCAGUUUUAGUAAAUAAAACAAUUUAUGUAAGUUUCAAUAGUGAGCUUUUGGACAAAACGACAAAAAAUAAUAGCUGAUGUUGAAUAUUGCCUAAAAGAUUACCAAUAUCAAGCAAUAUUUCACAUUUACCAAAAGAAGUACAAUCAUUGUAUUUAAAGAGUAUAUCAGAUCGAAAACUUUCAACUGAGAGUGUUAUUCCUUCAGGUGCAAAUAAUAUUGAUUGUGAAAUGAACUCUGACAGUAAUCUAACAAUUUCUGAUUCUGAAUCUUACCCAUUAGAGUCAUCAGAUUUUGAAACAAUUGAUGAAUAACAAUGAUGAACUAAAAAAUGAUUUGAUGCAGUGGGCAGUUAAGUUUGCUAUAACCGAUGAAGCAUUAGCAUCUUUUUUAAAAUUUUUGAGUAAAUUGUUUCCUGAAUUGCCAAAGGAUCCACGCACUCUACGUCAAAGUCUUUUGUACCUGUUACCAAUAUAACUGGAGGACAGUAUUGUCAUUUUGGCAUUAGACAAGGAGCUGUAAAAAGAAAUCCUGCAACAACUUUAGCAACUGAAUCAGAUUUUCAAUAUGAGGUUGUGCGUUUUUUGCGUGGUGCAUCAGACCACAAUGGCGGACAAAAAGUUAAACAAGACUAAAAAAAACAAACAAGCCAAGAAAAAAGUGAUGCCUACAUUAAGUUUUCCAAUGCUAUUAAAUAAAGAGACAUUUUUUAGUUCAGAAGAUGAAUAACAUUGUUAAAUAAAAUAAGCAUCUUUAUUUACAAUAACCUCUUGUAUAUGAGAUUGUAGAUGAGAAUUUAAAUCGUGAUAUUGAAUCUUACCAGAGAAUAAAAUGUGCACUUGUGUCUAAGGCUUAUGCUUUGCAAAAGGUUCACCAUUGUACUUAAGUUGCUGUGGGUUUUACGGUUUUACUUCCAACCUGGCAUAUAAAUGCACUUAGUAUCUGAAGUUAAUUGUCAAUAACUGGUGAUCAGACUAUUUCAAACAAACACGUUUUUAAGGGCUGAGAAGGUGAAAGUUAGAAGUCUGCAGACUGCAACGUAAAUCAAUUUUCAACACACGAUUUCCUGAAUAUAUUUAGUUUUCGAUUGAAAUGAGAAUAAACUGAACUUAUGGAUAUGUUGAAAAUUAACUAUUUUACAUUUUAAACGUUCGCUAAACGCAAGUGAAGCAAUAGUCUAUAGAUGCAAAUAUACUUUAUAUUUUGCUUUAGUUUAAAAAAAAAUUAUUGUUACUUUAUUAUUCAUGUUGUAAU
Non-coding RNA from Hydra vulgaris (swiftwater hydra), 1310 nucleotides. The record is from RefSeq and is a predicted model, not a curated record. NCBI's taxonomy places the organism in Eukaryota, Metazoa, Cnidaria, Hydrozoa, Anthoathecata, Hydridae.